This 791-nucleotide ribosomal RNA is filed under the name uncultured bacterium. RNAcentral's name for it is "bacterial SSU rRNA". It matches the Rfam family "Bacterial small subunit ribosomal RNA", at positions 552 to 1341 of the family's 1533-position model. The record is from RNAcentral.
UACUGGGCGUAAAGAGCUCGUAGGUGGUUUGUCGCGUUGUUCGUGAAAUCUCACGGCUUAACUGUGAGCGCGCGGGCGAUACGGGCAGACUUGAGUACUGCAGGGGAGACUGGAAUUCCUGGUGUAGCGGUGGAAUGCGCAGAUAUCAGGAGGAACACCGGUGGCGAAGGCGGGUCUCUGGGCAGUAACUGACGCUGAGGAGCGAAAGCGUGGGGAGCGAACAGGAUUAGAUACCCUGGUAGUCCACGCCGUAAACGGUGGGUACUAGGUGUGGGUUUCCUUCCUUGGGAUCCGUGCCGUAGCUAACGCAUUAAGUACCCCGCCUGGGGAGUACGGCCGCAAGGCUAAAACUCAAAGAAAUUGACGGGGGCCCGCACAAGCGGCGGAGCAUGUGGAUUAAUUCGAUGCAACGCGAAGAACCUUACCUGGGUUUGACAUGCACAGGACGCCGGCAGAGAUGUCGGUUCCCUUGUGGCCUGUGUGCAGGUGGUGCAUGGCUGUCGUCAGCUCGUGUCGUGAGAUGUUGGGUUAAGUCCCGCAACGAGCGCAACCCUUGUCUCAUGUUGCCAGCGGGUAAUGCCGGGGACUCGUGAGAGACUGCCGGGGUCAACUCGGAGGAAGGUGGGGAUGACGUCAAGUCAUCAUGCCCCUUAUGUCCAGGGCUUCACACAUGCUACAAUGGCCGGUACAAAGGGCUGCGAUGCCGCGAGGUUAAGCGAAUCCUUUUAAAGCCGGUCUCAGUUCGGAUCGGGGUCUGCAACUCGACCCCGUGAAGUCGGAGUCGCUAGUAA